UUCUUGUUUGGAGCUGUACUCCUUGAAUCUGGACGAUCCUGGACUUGAUUUGGAACUGAAGUCCAGUUUACAGACACAAAACAAAUUCCAGAAGAUUGUAUGGUCCGGUGCAGGGGUCAUAGUGGGGGGUUGUGAUGGUGGUUUGCUCGAGUUCUACAAUGCGGAGAAACUACUUAAAAAUAGCAGUGAUGCCUUACUCGGCAGUAUCACAAAACACAAUGGCAAUGUAUCAGCACUGGAUAUCAAUCCAUACCAGAAGAACCUGCUCGCAUCUGGAGCGUCUGAGAGUGAGAUCUUUGUGUGGGACCUAAACCACAUCAGUCAGCCAAUGCCGCCGGGCAA
This is a long non-coding RNA of Achroia grisella, 342 nucleotides long. RefSeq lists it as uncharacterized. The transcript is spliced from 3 exons. The record is from RefSeq and is a predicted model, not a curated record. Lineage: Eukaryota; Metazoa; Arthropoda; Insecta; Lepidoptera; Pyralidae.